CAGUUCGGAUUGCAGUCUGCAACUCGACUGCAUGAAGCUGGAAUCGCUAGUAAUCGCGAAUCAGAAUGUCGCGGUGAAUACGUUCCCGGGUCUUGUACACACCGCCCGUCACACCAUGGGAGUUGGUAACGCCCGAAGUCAGUGACCCAACCGCAAGGAGGGAGCUGCCGAAGGCGGGACCGGUAACUGGGGUGAAGUCGUAACAAGGUAUC
RNAcentral lists this ribosomal RNA (212 nucleotides) under uncultured bacterium. RNAcentral describes it as "partial 16S ribosomal RNA". It matches the Rfam family "Bacterial small subunit ribosomal RNA", at positions 1289 to 1500 of the family's 1533-position model. The record is from RNAcentral.